This is a small nuclear RNA of Loxodonta africana (African savanna elephant), 104 nucleotides long. The record is from RefSeq and is a predicted model, not a curated record. Lineage: Eukaryota; Metazoa; Chordata; Mammalia; Proboscidea; Elephantidae.
GGGCCUGCUUCGGCGGCACGUAUACUACAAUUUACACGAUACAGAGAUUAGCAUGGCCCAUGUGCAAGGAUGACACCCAAAUUUGUGAAGCAUUCCAUAGUUUU